This is a long non-coding RNA of Passer domesticus (house sparrow), 5303 nucleotides long. RefSeq lists it as uncharacterized. NCBI's taxonomy places the organism in Eukaryota, Metazoa, Chordata, Aves, Passeriformes, Passeridae. The record is from RefSeq and is a predicted model, not a curated record. The transcript is spliced from 6 exons.
UCAGAGCUCUGCCCCUCUCAGCUUCUCCUGGCAGGAGUUAUCAGAUGCAAUAAUGCCAGGAAAGCUAGAGUGGAACAAAUCUGUGUCUCUUCCAAGACUCUGUGAAGGAAUCAGAGAGAAAAUGCUGCUGCAAACCGAAAGAAUACUUGCAAAGUGAGAGGCUGUUCAGUCAGCCAAAUAUCUCUGCAAAUUACAUGAGUGGUUUCUUUUCACAGGCUAGGCUUUCUCCUCAAGUUACCACAGUCUGAGUGACCAGAAAUCUUCCCCGAUGUUUUCUUGGUGUUACAUUUGCUGUGUGGCACCUGAGGGAGGUUUGCAGAAAUGGUUUCAUUAGUGGGGGAAAAUACUCUGCACUGGAAAUAAGCCCUUACAGCUGAUGCCUCAAGCUAUUCAGUAGCUGUCCAGAAACUCUUACCCACACUUAUCUGGUGUGCAGCCUGUGUAGCCCUUCCCCUCCUGACACGUGCCCACAGUUAUGUGCAGUCAGGCACACAUCAACACAUGAAAAUGCUAAUAAGCAUACACAUAUGUAAUUUAACUCCUAUUUGCCUAUUCACACAUACCAUGCCUCUGUGCAUGUCAGUAUGUUCCUCUUUUCUUGUUUCCAUUUACUCAUACAGAGCAGUCCAUCCCUGGUGCAGAUUUGCUUCCAAUUCUGACAGUCAUGUAAAACACAACUUUAUGUUUUUGGUUCAUCCUCUGUACAGCCAGCCCUGACACCAAACUGUGGGAAAAGCAGCUCAUAUUUGAAUAUCCUAACUGUAAUUCAUACUUUAUCUGGUUCUCUAGACAUUUGCUUAGCAUCUCUUCAUGCCUUCAGACUCUGUCUGAUCUCAGAUUUCCUGACUACUGCUGCAAGGCAGAAGGCAGAUACCUGCUGCUCCUCGAGGCAUUCUAGUGGAAGGAUGAAGCCCAGAAGAGGAAAAUGUAAUGAUGGUAAGUAGGUUGUGGGAAUGACACCAUUCAUUGGUACUCUAGGUAUCAAAGUACUCACUAACGGGCAAUUUACAAGAGACACUUUUGAGCCAUUUUGAAGGAAAUCACUGGCUGCUGUGAGCAGGAGAGUGCAGGCGGCUUCGUGCAAGCGUCAGCUGUCGCCCAGGAGCUGCGCAAGAAAUACAAGUGGAUCUUUCCAUUUCCACACUCCUCUGUGGGUGUCUGGGAGCAGGAGUUUAUCCUUUGCAGAAUCCUACUCAUUGCCCAUGUCAUGUGGGCUCACCAAGGCCACACAGAAGUUUAAGCCAACUGUCUUCUAAAGCCAGGCAAAGGGGAGGACUCUUUCCUUAUUCCAGCUGAGUAUAUAAAAUAGGCAUGCAGAUCUAGUAUUUUAUUUUCCUUAUCUUCCUCAGAGCAAACAAUAUAAAUCACUGAAAUACUGUUUUGCAAAGGUCCUAAGCAUUUCCAUAAAGUUGUACUUGACUAGGGUUUUCUCUUCAUUUGUUCUGGCAUGUUAACUUAUUCUGAUUAGUUGUUAUGGUAAGUUUCAUCUAAACACUAACAGAAAUUUGAAGAUUUUUAUUAAAGAGGAAGGUACUUCAAAGUGCAAAUGCCCAUCUGUGCACAUGCCCACACAUUUGUAAAUAAUCCCACAUAUGCUGGUGGCCAUUUUGCCUUUGGUGGGACAUACCAGCACAGCUCAACCUCUAGGUUCACUUUAGUGCUAGCAAGUGAAAAGUAGGAGCAUGAACUUCCAUAGACCAUCCUCAUCAACUUCACUUGUUCCCAGACAGACUUGUACAUGCAUAUCUUUAUAGCACCUUCCAGUUCAUAAAGGCAUCUACAGGUAAGCUGGAGACAGGCUUUACUUUUUCCAAGAGCAUGUAGUGGUAGGACAAGGGGUACAGCUUCGUACCAAAAGAAGUCAGGUUUGGAUUAUAUGGCAGGAAAAGAAUUUUACUGCGGGGAUGGUGAGACAGUGGCAUGGGUUGCCCAGAGAAGUUGUGGAUGCUCCAUCCCUGGGAGUGUUCAAGGCCAGGGUGGAUGGGGCUUUGAGCAGCCUGGACUAGUGGAAGGUGUCCUUGCCCAUGGCAGGAGGGUUGGAACUGGAUGAUCUUUAAGGUCCCUCCCAGCCAAAGUAGUCUGUGAUCAAACCUGAGCGAAGAUUCAGCUCAGCAGCGAAUUAAAACCCAGUGAAGUGUGUGCCCAGAAUUGCAAGUGCAAGUGGUCAUACAAAUGCUGGACCACAAAGAAGGAUGACUUGUAACUAGUGGUUCAAAGAGAACUAGCAGGAAAUCUGGGGUCACUGCCUGGCUCUGCCACAGAUUUCCUUUAUGUCCUUGCCUCGUUCACUUUAGCAGUUCUCCAGAUAAAGGAGACAAUAGUACCUCCCUAAUGGUCUUGGGAAGGUCUCUUGAGACUGUGAAGAGGGAGGACUUGAAUCUGUGAAUAUCCUCCUGAGCAAAAGGUAUUCCAGAUUAGAACUGCCUAGGUCUGCUGCUGCUCCCCAAAGUAAUUAUAUCAAAUAUCUGGAGAAAUAAUAAAAUGUUUUCCCAUUUGUGGUUGGAGGACAUACUUUGUUCAAUAACCUGGAAUGCAAACUUUGGUUAUAGUUUUGAGCCCUUGUUUCCUGGUGUGUUUAUUCUUUGGGGUUGUUUUGGGCUUGGUUUUUUCCUUGUUUUUUUAAUGUGGGUGUUUGGGGUUUUUUUGGGGGUUUUUUGCUUCAGUUUGGGUAGGGUUGGGUUUUUAAAAAUUAUUUUUGGUCAUUGAAGUCAAAUUCAAAGUGCUUACCCCCUCCUUGUUUUAAAUCAAGAAAGUGGUCUUUUACAAAAUAGUUAAGAACUCAUUCAAAUUUUCGUCUGGAUCAUUUUUGUGUCUUUCUUCCUCUAACUGAAAGUUUGCAGUGCAGCCACACACCUGGCAGAAGUUCUUUAGUUCUGUCAGCUGCAAUUUUCCCGGAAAAUCUCCUUGCUGGAUAACUUCUGAUGAGGCUGCAGGAAAGGACAGGUUUGUUUAGCUGUCUGCAUUGGAGUGGAAUAUUGCCCUCUUCCUGCACCUGCCUGCUGGCUUUAGAAGUGUGGGACACUGAAUAACCCAGCAGAGAGGUAUCACCUGCAAGCAAGGAGGUAAGAGCAUGUCCCCUUGGUGAGAUGCUGGUAUUCUCUGGAUAGAUCUUCUGCCUUUCCAGGUGGGACAGAGUGGCCUCUUUAACCCCAUCACUGGAUCAGCGUUCCCAAACUACACCAGUGUGACCAUCCCACUUGGAUUAAGCAAGUAGCUCCUGGCUUCUGACUCCACAAUCCAGCCUUGGGUAUCCCUCUCAGGCUGAUGCACCCCCCUCUUCCUCCCUCUCCCCUGAAGCCCCCUGCUUGUGGGCUCCUUGAUAUUUUCCAGUCCUUCCCUAAUGAGCACUGCAGAAUUACAGCUAAUUAAGGAUGUAAAUGAUGCUGGAGAGGGAGAGAGGGGGAGAGGAUGGGAAGGGGCGGAGGGGGGAGGGCAGCUACUUGCUGUGUGCAACUCUGCACUAAAGUGUCUCCUACCUCAGCAGAAAAGUUAUCACGGGAGACAAUGUCAACUUUACAGAGGGGGAGGGCCCUUCACAUGGCUCCAUCCCCGCCUGCAACAGCCGCGCCUCUCUUUUAGUGUCAGCGCUGCAGAUGCUGAUGUCCUUCCUCCUCCUCCCAAAUGCUGCUUUGUCAGCCAAAGCUGUCAAAGAGCCCUGGUCUCCCUCUCUGAUAUGUGCCCCUGCCCACACCUGUGUGUUGCCUGAGAGGUGAAGGGCUCACAAGAAGAUCUCAAAACCUGCUGGUGCUCUGGCCAGUGCCUCGGAGAUGAUGAUGUAGUCCCUAUGUGGGCCGCAGAAAGCACUUCGAGCCGUGCUGGAGUCGUGCUGGGUGGCUCUGAUAGCAGAGCUAAUGGGAGCGAAUGGGAUGCAACGAACUGUUCUAAUGACACCAGCCAGGGAAGAGACAACAAAUCAGGUGCUGGAGAGAGGCUGAGCAAGCAGGACUCACCCUCUGUGAGGCUCCACUCACAUGAUGCUGACAGGAUCACGCUGCUGUGUCCUGGCUCUGGCCAAACUAAAAGCAGCACUCGGGUGACUCUGUGACAUUGCUGUGGAUGGAGUGAUGCCCUGAAACUCUUCAGCAUCCCUGGGCCUGGAUACAGUGAAACUUCCAGUGCCCUGUCAUUGCAAGGGCAAAGGUAAAUUGGAAUAUCUUCCCUCUUUGCAUCACCCACCUUUCUUCUUUGCUAAGAAAGAGGUUUUUCCCUGAUGCCAACGGAGACACACUGCAGAAGAGCCACUGCUGAUGGGAUGUGUUCCAGCCUGUGGGAAUACAGAUUGAUUUAUCUUCUUUGCGUGAGUGUGAGGACACCAAGACACAGAGGUGGGAGUGGUCUUACUCAAGGUCACACUGCACAAAUUAGUGGCAAGGGUCACUCCUCAGUUCUAUGAGGAACAGCAGAGAAAAAUGUUGUCAGCAUCCUAUGUUGGACUACCACCAUGGCACUGUCUUUCAAGUCUGUCCUGUGAUCACCAAAUACUCUUGCUGUCUCUGACAAGCAGAAGAAACAGAGCUGGUCCAAACUGACUUCUGGUGCAACAGACACUGAAGUCCUUGCAAAAGGAGAGACUUCAGAUGUCACUAGCUGAAGAUACCCCAGAGGUGGGCCUGGUUCCUCCCCUUGCACUCCUGUUUCAGUAUUGGUGUGCCAUGACCUAGUGGCUGGGACUCAGGACCUGGCAGAGCCAUUUCUGUAAAGGGAAGGAGAGAUGCCAUUCUGGACUCAGGGAUUUAUUGCGCUUGAAGUGGAAACCUGAAGUGAGAAGCUGAAUGCAAAGCAACCAAUUUGUCCCUAUUAAGUCCCAGUAUGUCUGUGCUGUAAGUGCCAUCUCAGACCCCCUUCCCAUGCACCAGUUUGUGCAAGCGAUGAAAAGACUGUAAAAAUGUACAUCUACAAAAGUUUAUCUGCUUAUUUGUCUUCAGUAUCUUGUGCCUUCCCCUUCUUAAGUGAAAAAGACUAUGGAAAGACUAAUAGCUCACAUCUACACAUUACAGGAUUUUGUCUCCCUUUUUAAAAAACUCCACUAAAGCCUCACACCAGCAGAACUUACUGUGCAAAGGUAAGCAAUCACCCUGCUGUCUUAAACCUACUGAAGCCUGGAUUCAACAGGCGAGAAAGUCAGGCUUUAGGGCUCCAAAUACUGGGUCAGAAAGACUGUGGCCACAUGACACAAAUGCUGAUCUGAUGUGAAGCUGAUCUGCUAAUGCAGAUCCUUUCAGAGAGUGCUGACAGGUUAACUUCUGACAGACUCAAUGUGCAUUUGGUGUUAUUUGUCUGUGACUCUGACUUUAUACCUUAAA